AACGCAUCUUGCGCUCCUUGGUAUUCCAUGGGGCAUGCCUGUUCGAGCGUCAUUUACACCCUCAAGCUCUGCUUGGUGUUGGGCGUCUGUCCCCCCUCUUCUUGUGGGACUCGCCCUAAAGGCAUUGGCAGCGGUCCUGUCGGGCCUCCUAAUCGCGCAGCACUGUUCGCGCUUCCUGGAGCCUGUGCGGAUUUCAGCGUCCAUCAAGCCCCCACGUUCUUUGACUUGACCUCGAAUCAGGUAGGGAUACCCGCUGAACUUAA
Molecule: unclassified non-coding RNA, 263 nt
Filed under: uncultured fungus
Lineage: Eukaryota; Fungi
Description: partial contains 5.8S ribosomal RNA, internal transcribed spacer 2, and large subunit ribosomal RNA
Source: RNAcentral